This 11346-nucleotide long non-coding RNA is filed under the name Gallus gallus (chicken). RNAcentral describes it as "lncRNA (ENSGALG00010014174.1)". The record is from RNAcentral. Lineage: Eukaryota; Metazoa; Chordata; Aves; Galliformes; Phasianidae.
CUGGUCUCUCAGAAGCAGGGAGAGAGCACCAUACAUCUUGCAGCAUGUCCUUACCAGCUCGGAAAGCUUUGCCCUUGCAUUACUGCCAGUAAACUGUUCCUAACAUUUGUUACGCUUUAUAUUAAUGGAUGCUACAUUUUCCCAUUUCAUACCCUACCAAACAGCAUGAUGGGAUGACAGCAUCAAACAGGUAGUAGGCAGAAGUGAUGCAUGAAAACUACCCUUAGCUGGAGAGCCAUACUGUUUUUUCCGCUUUCUUACAGUGGCUGUUGGUUGUUCUUAAUCACCUGCCUCACGCAGGCAGGCACUGGCUGGGGAGCUAAGGGAAGGGCUGAGUCCAAAACACAUGGUAACUAAGCAGCAGGACUUGAGACGCUGUCUGGAAAAACAACAGAGACUCACCUCCUACUAUUUUUCUUCCAGGGAAGCAGCUCCCAUUGCGCCAUUUUCCUGGCAGAAGAAGUUAUGAUCUUCAGGAAAAAGCUUCUUUCAGAGUGGGUUAUGUUUUAAUUUGUUGUUGUUGCUGUUGUUUUCAAGCUGUGUAUGUGUGAGGAAAUGGCAUGGAGUGGAGGGGGGAAGUUGUCUCUGACAUCUGCAGGUUCAUCUUGGAAAGAGUGGAAGGAGGGAGGACUGAAGUACAUGGCCUGCAUCUGUUCCAAGAGGAACCCGAACAGAAGGAGGUUGUACUUGUUUUUCUGUUUGUACUUCUGGAGAUGAUGCCAUUAAUUAUGUGUUUACAACACUUCAGCUCUUCUUCCUAGCUUAGGCUCAAAGCUCAUAGUCCUGACUCAGCUCCAAAAAUCCACUGAGGUAGGUGGGACAGUCGUUCUGACACAAUAUUUAAUAUCAGGCCUAAAGGCUGGAUCUAGUCAAAGAAAAACAUCUACUCUAUGAAAGCAAAUGUAUCUUAUAAACAGUAGAAGCUGCUCCCCACUCACUGGAUGCUGAAGACAGAGGAUGGUUGUACUUCCUCAGCCAUCAUCAUCCAUAGCAUUUACUGUGGGGAUGACAGCUGUCUCCUGAUAAUGAUUUCCCUAGCACAGCAAUGUCCAGCCAGCAGCCAGAUUUCACCAAGAAUCUGUGAGGGACACCUUGAGAACUCACUGAGAAUUGCAGUUACUUCCUCUGAACCAGACUGACGUGUUAGUUUCACAAAAACAAGGUCACAUAUCCCACUGGUUUUAUGUUUUUGUUGUUCUCUUCUUUAUAUGUUUUAAUAGAAGAACAUUAAAAAUUAAAGUAAGUUUUGUCACUUAUAUACAUUAUCAAUAUUAUAAGAGCUGCUCCAAAAGUAAUACCUCCUGCUUUAUGGUGUCAGCUCAGGAUGUCAGAGGUGGGCAUUGGUGGUAUGGCAGAAGUUGAACCUUCCCACCACAAUUCCAUUACGUUUUGUUGCUGUGUGACAGAUGGCAGCAGAGGGACAGUCUGACACAAUGAAGUCUGACAUGGAAGUGCAUAUGAAGCAAAGGUGUGUAAUUGAAUUCCUUCAUGUGGAAAAAAUGGCACCCACUGACAUUCAUUGGCACUUGCUGGAGACUAAACCAUGGAUGUGAGCACAGUGAGGUGGUGGCUGGUACAUUUCAGCAGUGAUGACAGCAACAGUGAGUGACCUCAACUAGUGCAGAUUGUUACGAGCACAGCAUGCGGGCUUUUGUUCAUUUUGUUAAUUGUUUAUUUACAACUAAUGGUGGUGACUGCGUUGAAAAAGAGUGUUUUAUAGCUGAGAAUAUUCUCUGUUCAGUAGUGUUAUUGUGCUCUCUGUAUCUGAGGUAGUUUCCAUGGAAACAAUUAGGAGGCAUUACUUUCAGAGCAACCCUCAUAGAUGCAGCCCUACACAAUUCCUCUUCACUCAAUGCAGCCAGGCAAGCCAAAAGGUUGGACACCCAUUUCUUGGCACGAGCAGGAUAAAGGACAUCCUUUCUUCUGAAACUACUCCUUCUCUUAAAAGCUUGAUGAAAUAUUUCGUUCAAAUUUUAAGGUGACAAAAGCAGAUGAAUAAUUCUCAUUUAAUACUGUUUACUGUGGACUUCUUUUCACAUCCUAUGGUGAUUUCCCUUUUUUUUUUCCAUCAGUUUGAUUACAGCCAGUCAGCCAUAAUUCAAGCAUCCUGGCAUGCACCAGCUAGUGUCACAGCAGUGUCCUUGGGAGGCCAGGCUUUCAAAGGAUGCAGUGAGUGCUUCUGAAAAGAAGCAAAUUUAAUGUCUUAAAGCUACCUUGAGAAUCACAGAACAUUGUUUGUACACUCACACUGUGCCCUAGCAAAUGCUCUUCAUCUUGCAUGAAUGGAGAUAUGCUGUACCCAUAUAUGUAAGCCAGUUAAUUGCUUCUGGAGUUCGCUUUAAAAAAAUUACUUCUAAAUGACAGGAUUCACAUAAACAGAGCAAUCUGAUGCCUGAACCUGUGCUUCAAAAAGACACCUUAAAUUUCGGUGAUAAGGAGCUUGUAUGAAAGCUUGUAAUUGAAAGCUGGAGUGAAUUAGGCAUGUAUGCAGAUAUGUGUAUUAGAAUGUGCUACAGUGAGGGAUGCCCUGCCAACAGAUCCCUGUGCCUUUGUGCAGUUUUGGUAGAGAAUGAUGGAAAGUUGCACAGAAUCAGAGGUUGCCACAGCAGUAUCUUUGAAACCCUCUUUUAAUAUUCAUGAAAGAGUCAUAAAAAACUUUUUUGAAUGAUAGCAUAUUUAAUGACAGUCACUGAGUCAUAUGAAACCAAUCUUCUUUUUCAUAUAACAAACAAACUGAGACAUCUGUCCUAUAAAAUAACAGUAGGCUGUGUCUCAUGAAGACACUGUUUUGGAUUGAUAUGAAUCUAAAUGAACAAAAACUGAUACUCGGGUUUUCAGUUUUGUAAUUGAUUUCCUAUAGUUUAGUCCUCUGAUAUGUGAAUGCAUCCCUAUCUGUACAGUAGUGUUUCGUGUAAUAUUUGAAGCAGAUUUUCAAUACCUCACACAGAAAAUACCGACUCAGCUUCACUGUUAGUGUGAAAAGAACGAACAGUUUCUUUCUCACAGCCUGCUGACAUAACGGUCUUCCCUUGGAGUAUUUCAGUCCUUGCUCAUCUUGGGAUUAAUGGAACCAGUACUUACAGCUGCAGUGCCAGAGGCAGGACCCAUAUAUUUCUUUGACCAGAUGAAAGCUAGAAUGAAAGAGAGGGACAGGGAGAUAUCAGGAGAAGUGUCCUCGUAUUGCCACGCGCUCACUACAAAUCCUCAUCCCAUCAGCUGUACUCCCAGGUAAUGGUGUCAUGUCAGUAGUGGUGGGAGCAGGCAAGUUUCUGUAAACUAGUUUUUCAGGAAAGGCACAAAUGAGUCCUGAGGUAGAUGUGGUCAAGGCAGAAUGGGGCAGCUGGGGAGGUGAAUGACCAGAGGUGACACCCUGCCAUGCAGUGGGAGGAGAGGGAGACAAGUGGGAAGGUGGUAGUGUCCUGUACCGACUCCUCACUUCUUGAGGUGUGUUACCUAAUAUUCAUUUCUGCUGUCAACAUUUCAUGAGUUUAAUAUGUUUAAUGUACAAAUCUUGAACUAAGAGUCUUGAGCACUGCAUUUCAGCAGGAAUAGUUCAAAGUGUACACUGUCAGUGCAGAUGUUCCCUGGUUUGGCAAUGGCUGCACUAGAUUGUCUCCUGCUGCUCUGCACAAGUAUUUCAGAGCUUGAUCUAGGAGCGUCCUUGGAAGGAAAUGUGGUGCAGUCUCAACUGUGAAAGGGGCACUGCCAGCCUCUGCAUGUUGGUUUGAGGCAGCAAAACUGUUCUGUGUGUCCUUUAAUUGUUAUUGCUCUCACUGAACUAUCCAGCUGUUUUUACUCCUCAGCCUGACUGAAGGCAGGAAUCCCUUCUGCGCAGGGGAGUAUACAGAAAGACAUGAAGAUGGUUUCUUAAAUGUUGAUACAAAAAAAGAGAAAGAUCCAGUUUUGCAUCAAAUAUCUCAUCAUUCCCUGUAUAAAACCACUACAGAGGACUCAAACCCAAAGGUCUCCCAACGUGCUCUGAUCCCACAGGCAGACAAGGACUCACUCACCACUUAACAUGUUGAAUAAGUCUGCAUCUGCAACUUGGGGAGAAGUGGCAGCUCCUGGCUAGGUAUCAGACUGGUUUUCCACUGGAACUUGUAACUGUGCUUACCUGCAGCUGGAGGGAACUCACUGUGAGGGCUGAUUUCUGUAAACAGCAGCAGAAGUUGCUAUCAUACAGAAGCAUGAGAUCCAGGAGAAGCCAGGCCUCAGAGGAGGUUAAGAAUAGUACUCUGGCAUCCAAAUGUAAGGAGCAUGAAAUCACUGCCAUCAGAAAAGAACAACACAAGAAAGGCUUUAUUCUAUCAUCCUGCACUACAAAGGGAGAAAUAAAUCCUGAGACAGCAUCAAACGCACCUUCAGAAAGUGAAGGUAAUACAGUGCUGCACAAAUGUGCUGUGUUGUAACGUUUGGCCAAAAAAAAGGAAAAAAGUGCUUUCUGUUAAGAAUACACCAUUGGCUGGAUAGGCCAAUGUGCUCCAGCUUAUAACUGGAUAUACUGCAGUUCUUUGCAAAGCACUGGUUUAGGACAUGAUGAAAUAGCUUUGCAGCUGAAGCAAGAGGUACAAACACUUGAGAAGAACAAAGCCGGUGAAACUGGGCAAUGUUUCAAGUCAUUUAGCAAAGCAUUUUUAGUCUCCUCUUUCAAGGUGAGUGAUAGAGUCAUAACACAUUGCACCAGUAGAGAAGAUUUGCAUCUAAAGCAUUUCAUUCUGCGAGUAUCAGUGAUUGCAAGUGCUGAACCUAGUGUUGGGAAGAAGCCUGUUACAGUUCUCCAGGUAAUUCUCACCUCUUUAAAAAGAAAUCAAUAAUAAUUUUUAAAAGCAGACUUACCUUUCCAUGUGUGUUCCUAAGCACUGCAUUCUCCUUUCUUUGUGUUUAGCUCCUGCUGUGCAAAAUGAUGCUGACCAGUCACCCAUCACAGUCAGCUUCUCACUUUCAUCCAACAUUUGUGAGGAACAAGGUUUGAUUUUCCAGCUUUCUAACCCAAAGUCUGAAGACGUUCAUCAGAAUCUGCCUUAUGUGUGGACCCUGGUGAGACCUGAGCAAGUUCAAAAACAAAUAAAAGAGCAAGCAUUUAACCUGAAAGAAGUUGGGUUUGACAAACCAAUUAUUCUACAGCAUUAUGGUGAUUACAGAGGAGAAACUUUCCCCAGGACAUGGAAGGUUCAGGCUGGCAGGACUGUCACAUCAAAGCUGCCAUAUGACAAACCUCAGAUUCCAGUGGUCAAGAGAGCAAACACAGCACAGAGAAAACUGCACUACAGACUGAAUGAUGGCUCAUCCUUCAUUUAAUAUCCUUUCUUAAGCUCACUUAAAUUCCUGUAAGUGUGUGAAAGGCAGGGGGAGGACUUCUACCGAAGGACAAUCACACAGCGUGUAGCUGAACCGCUUCCAAAAUCCAGCUACAUAUAAAAGAACAAGACUUUAUUCUUUGGGCUUCUUAUCAGACUCUAUUUAUAUGGUACCACAUCUAUAGUCGGUCUACAACAGCAAAGCCCAGUGUGCGUCAGGUGGGUUGAAAGGCAUAAAAAAAAAAAAAAAACCCAAAAAAAACUGCAGAAUGAACAAUGCAGUUUUAAAUUAACAGUAUCAGACUGCAAACUAUUUAAAGUAUGACCUUGUCGUGAACAAAGACCACUUUAUCAAUCACAAACAUAAUCACAAACAUCAAGAUGUAUUAGGAACUGUGCAAGUCUGCUCUGUUACAAGUCCACAGAAGACACCAUGCCUCAUAAACCUACUUCUGAGUCAUACAUUGCUCCUGCAAAGGACACUUUUGACCUGUACCAGCAUGAGUUUCCUGCUAUCUUUUAUUAGUUCAGUAACGUGAAUUUUGUGCUGAGAGCUUUGCCUGCUCAUCCUCUAUCACUCCCAAUCCACUUAUUCAAGGAAGAAGAUGACUGGGUUGGUAGCUUCGCUUUCUCUUAUGCACAUGGACUGAAUACCCUGUCUUAGAGCUGAUGAUGUUAGUCCCUGUGUUCUCUGCAUGGUUAAGUAACAGAAGCUACAGAGUUGGAGAGAGAAUGAUAACUUAACUCCUUGACUCUCAUUUUAGCUAUCCAUCUGAAUAUCUUGCGGUUUGCCAGAGCUGCUGCAAUCUCCCAUGUAGGGGGAUGUAUACCAACAUAUUUAGCCCUUCUCCAGAUCAUUCUAUAGGUGGAACUUUCACCUCUUUUGGACAUGGCAGCAUCUAUCUUCCUAACAGGUAGGCAGAUGCACUACAAGCUGUUGUUUGAUUCUGCGAAUUAGAGCCGAGAGCACAAAGCUAUACAAGGAUCUGAGCAACGUUCAAAACCAGAAUAGACAUGAGAAAAGUGGUAUGUUGUUUCUACAACAAAUACAAGUUUCUAUAACUCAGCUGGGUGUCUGACAGUGGGUUGGGUUUAUUUUGGUUGUUUUUCACCUACCCUUUUUCACUAAAAAAUGAAAGCUGAGCUUAGUUUUAGGUAACCAAACUCUUGCACAGACAGACUCGUAGUCCAUAGGGAGUCUGACAUUAGAGAAGAUCAGCAUCCAGAAGUGUGGAAAGAUAAAAGAAGACCCCUUCCGACUUGUUCAUGCCUCCUGGAGGUGAAGAAGAAACCUGUCCUCUCUGAUUCCCCUCUAAGAGUCAAAUGCCAUCAGGUGUUCAAGCAGCCCAAAAGCACUCUGUUAACUAAACUGCUGAGCUAGACAGAAGUCACUCGGAAAAGAGAAUUCCUAAUUUGUGACACCAGUGCUGUGAGGACAGGAUGCACUUUGGCUUACUGGAAAAUUCCCACAUACAGAGGAGACGGUGGGCAAAUGAGAGCCAGCCUUCUGGCUGCCUUGAACACAUAGCAUGAGGUGUGUGUGGAUGGCUGUUGCACACAGUCAGAAGUCAUCCUCUUCCUCCAUCACUUCAUCAGCAGUUCUCUUCUGGAUAUUGUUGCUAUCUGUUUAUAUCUCUCCAUGUAGUUCUCUGCACCUGUACAUGAUGUGGGCAAAGGUUAUCACUGAUUCUUAGUUACCUGAUCUUCGCCUAAUUCUCCUCUUCUUUGCUCCUUUAGUGACUUCAGAGUACUCAAGAAAUCUGGGAUCAAAAUUUAAUGCUCUGCAGAGAGGAAUAGUAGCUAAAAAUGAGGGACUUGCUGAUUUGCAGCUGCCUUCAUUUGUAAGGAAGUGAAGAUCAUUGGCUGAUGGCUGAACUUUUGGGAUAGGAGGAAUGUUUUACUGGAGCUGUGUGAGCAAGGAUUUUUCAGGUCUUGUAUAAAAGCACUGAAGAGAGUUCAGUGCCCUCACAGCUAGUGGAAGGAGGUGGCCCUUGUUGACAAAAAGUGUCCAGGUGUCCAAAAAUAUAUAUUUUAAACAGUUCUCAUUAAAGAAUUUAAAUAACACCUACCCAUUUUACCUAUACUAGCCAACUUUAUAUUACAGAAAAGCAAACAAAAAUAAUAGGGAAUAUAAAGUGCAAAGCUAAAAUCUCAGGAUUCCUCCUGAGACUUGUCAGCUGAAGCCUAAUGCAUUAAUGCCAUCCAUGUGCCAUUUUAGUUGAUUUGUUUCUUCCUUUAAAUUUACAGUCAAAUUUGAAAUGUUUUAGAACUUCCAGGACUGUAGCGGUAAGUGAAAAGGGCAGUGAAAUCACACUGUUUGACCCCAGCUUCUUUCUGCUUUGAAUUAUUAAUACAAGAAUUAAACCCCAACUUUUGUCUGUAGCAAAAGGACAGUGGUUUAUACCUUCCUUACAAGCCUGUAGCAUGAGAAAAGCUGGGUGAAGGAGUGGCUAUGUAAAGCGGCUUUUUAAUUAGAGACUCCUAGAUCAAAGCAAGAUUCUUGGAUUGUUUAAGGUUUUCCUGAGAUACACCAGGAAAAACAGGUUUCACAUUUCUGCCUAUUUACAGCAACACUGUAACCAUGAUGUUUAAUCAGGAAGGAGGUCUGGUGACUAAUGAAGAUGAAGAAAUGGUCAGAGAAUGGAAAUGGCCUCGGGAUGGCAAGCUGGCCCAGCCAGUUAUAGCACGGGUAAUAGUUAAAGCUUUACCUUUUUUUACUGUUCUUACCUCUUGCUUUCUCCCCCUCAUCCCUUAGUCUCUCUGAGGUGUGUGAAUCGUAAGGAACACAGAGCUUACAUUUCUUCUUCUCUAACAGGCUUUAAAAUGAAUAGUUUUCCAAACAACCUCUACGUGAAUUACCUCUUUUUUUAACUCCUGUUGCUCCUUCAGGCUAAGAAAGAAAAGCAGAUUGCCUACAACUGUUGUAACUCGGGAUUUCAACAAACAAGAAGCCUAUCCUCCCUGCUAGAUGCAUUUUGGAAGAGUCUUUUCUUUCUAGUCAAUAUGAACAAGCUAUUUCUCACAUUUCUCUUGGGCAUGUUCAGUAGCAGGCACUUAUUUGCCUGACUUCAGUCCUGAUCCAGCUCCCACUGAGGUGGGAGCCUCCCACUGCUUUGUAGUUACCAGAUCUCAGCUUAAAAUGCUGCAAAAUUACCAGAAAGGCAGGUAAAACAUUUGCAAUCCAAGUCAGUAAGCAUGCCUUCGGGCACAGAGUUGGUAAAGACACAUUAUUUGGGUCAAGUCGGGAGACUUUUUCUUCCUUUCUACUUAAUACAGGGCUACUGGUGGCAUCCUUGGUAUUUUGUACAAGGCACAUCUAAGACUGACGGAAUGACAUGUAGCUGAACACAUAACAGGUUUCUGUCACUUGGCUCAUACUGCCCAGGCUGCUGCUGAUAGGAAGGAGUGACUUCAAAUAAGCAAAUGGCAAUGAAAAUCUUACAGCUGCUAUGACUGAUAUAGAUAGACACUCACUCUUCUUUGGGUUUGAUAUGUUCUAUAUACUGACCUCUGUUUACUCUCUAAGGUCUGCAAGAGUUUGAGAUGCCUGCAAUAUGCUUUAUCUGCAGUUUUGACUUCGAUAGACUCUGUAAAGAUUAUGUCAGAUAACUAUUGAAACAGUUUGAAAUAUCAAGUACAGAUUAUGGAAUGUUGCUGUGAAUUAUGUGCUGUAGCAAAUGGAUGUAUUUCAAGAGUCACAUGAAAACGAAUGCAAGUUCAGUAAAGCCAUUAGUAUCUGCAACACACUUCUUACUUUGAAUAAGAAGGAGUGUCAGAGACUGGAAACAGGUGAUGCAAACUGGAUUAAAUAGAAGAUAGGAAAAGUGGUUCUAAGUGCCCUGCUUGGUGUCACCGGGUCAUUUUUCAUGGGCUGUGUGUGCAGGCAAUGCUAAAAGCUACAGUGACUAUUACUUCAAUAAAUUACAUCGUAUGCAUCAAAAUGCUAAUCUUUUUCUUGUGACUGAGCAGCCCAAACACUGCCUACUCUCACUAACAACAGCAGUUACAGGGCAAGCACAGACUGGCUUCUCCUGAGUCUAUCCUUGUCUGUGACUCCACUGCUUCUCUGCCUUAGAAGAGUAGACACAUUUUCCUGAGUGGUUCUGAAAGUUUCUCGUGCCUUUCUGCUACACAGCAUCACCUUCCAACUCAUGCACAGUCUCAGAAUGUUUGCUCUGGGCAUGUGUCAUCCAGAUAAAGGGCUGGGAGUUAUCAUCUCUACCCACAGCUCACGUACCAGAAGGUAACUUUGCAAGAUUCACAUGGAGAGUGACAGCACUGAGACUUGUUUGUAGAGUAACUCAUGACCAACUGUCUUGGAUAACUAACCUGCUGAGACUUCACUCUGCCUCUUCCAUCCAUCAUAAAUGUGAAAACACGGUGGAAUUAGUAAGUCUCCUUUGUUGGUCUUUCAGGUUAAUGAAUUCAUCACAGUGAGGAUUGCAGGACGCUUUGCAAUUAGCUUGGUCUACAAGUGGCAACAUGAAAGUAUGUGCUUGUCUUUGUCACGGCCGCGGGGUGCGGCUCUUCCGCGGUUAGAAGAAUCGGUAUGUUGCAACUGCUGCAGUACUGCACUUUAUCAACUUUGUUCUGCAGAUUCUGGAACUGAUGAGCUUUUCUAUAAAAUAUGCUUCCCGAUGUUAGCACUAAGAGCAGUGCUACAGAGUGAUCAAAUUAGGCCUUCCGGAGAGUGAAUAAAAAGCAGAUUUAUGCUGAUGACUACCUACUACAGAUCUGGCCCAAAGGGACACAGCUUUCCACGCGCUUAGAUUCCUAUUUAUGCUUCCUCCCCCCCCCCAGACUUAGCCCAGUACGAGGUGGUUAUACCUUUUUGUGCUGCAGAUGGUGUACUGAAUGAUGCCCUAAGAAAUCCUGAUCCAAAUCUUCCUUUCCUUCAUUUCUGUGCAGUGAGCUGGCUGUCUAUCUAGGUUUAUCAUCUAGCCAAAGCCUGAUAUCUUCAUGUCUUUCAGUUCAAUGUUGGGUUGAAAUACAUGUUGUUAGAACAGAUUUUUGUGUGUGUGUGAUUUUGGGGUCAGGAAAAAAUAGUUAUGAAACAAUUGUUGGAAAAGCAGAAGAAAUCUGUCAUCCAAGUAAAACAAAAAUAAAACAGAUCACGCUGGUUCAGAGUUAAUUUCCUUCUCCCUGUAAGUAUUUAGUCUAGAAAUUGUAGAAACAGACACUGUGGAUUUGUAAUAGGCAUGUAUAUACAUAUCAUUGAGUUUAAAAGAAAUUUAGAUUAACUCCUAAACUUCUGAGAAGUUAAAUUUGUCAGAGUUUUUAAAUGGCUUUUCAUAAAAGAAGUAUUUCACUAUAUGUAGCACAUAGGCUUAGGUGUUAGGAUGUGGCCCAUCGAGCAACUUCAAGUAGCAUCACCAUCAUUAGCUGAAAAACCUGACUUCUCACUCAGGCACAUUUCCACUGAUGUGGGAAAGGAAAUGUUCUAAAUGAGGGAAGAUAAAGGUAGUAAAUGAACAAAUUCAAACAAUUAACUAUUUUUCAUUUGUUUGGAAACAAAAAUCACUCAAUUUGUGUUUCAUAAGAUGGACUGCUGCUUUUUUAACAGUUUGUCAAUUCUUUGAUUAAAGAAGAUGAGAGACUCCUAAUAUAGCCUAUAAUACCUCUGUAAAACUGGGAUGAGAAUCAACAUCUUAUUCCCUCUAGCUCCAGAAAAGCCUGGGCCAUAACAAUAAUAGAGCUACCCUUGAGUUCUUGUAAGACUGCCAUCUGAAACACCACCAGAAAAAGGCUUCCUGAGAUUAAUGAUUCACUGGAUAUCUUUCCCUGGUGGAACUGGAAGGGUCACUGCUCUAAGGGACUAUAAGGAAAUGGGGAGAAGUGGAAUAGCAGGAGCCCUGGGCUCAUUCACAACCCUCAAUAGGUGUUCAGGAUUUAUUCAAGUACCAGUUCUGACUUCUUUACACCCAAAACAUUUCUUAACAGAUCACUGAGGUGGAAAAUUUGACCUUAAGAGGAUUUGACUUGAAAUAGCUGAUGUAGCAAAUUCCAUCUGAAGAAAUUUUAUAGAAGAGAUAUGGCAGAUAGGUACAGU